UGGUGGGUAGUUUGACUGGGGCGGUCUCCUCCCAAAGCGUAACGGAGGAGCACGAAGGUUAGCUAAUCCUGGUCGGACAUCAGGAGGUUAGUGCAAUGGCAUAAGCUAGCUUGACUGCGAGCGUGACGGCGCGAGCAGGUGCGAAAGCAGGUCAUAGUGAUCCGGUGGUUCUGAAUGGAAGGGCCAUCGCUCAACGGAUAAAAGGUACUCCGGGGAUAACAGGCUGAUACCGCCCAAGAGUUCAUAUCGACGGCGGUGUUUGGCACCUCGAUGUCGGCUCAUCACAUCCUGGGGCUGAAGUAGGUCCCAAGGGUAUGGCUGUUCGCCAUUUAAAGUGGUACGCGAGCUGGGUUUAGAACGUCGUGAGACAGUUCGGUCCCUAUCUGCCGUGGGCGCUGGAGAAUUGAGGGGGGCUGCUCCUAGUACGAGAGGACCGGAGUGGACGCAUCACUGGUGUUCGGGUUGUCAUGCCAAUGGCACUGCCCGGUAGCUAAAUGCGGAAGAGAUAAGUGCUGAAAGCAUCUAAGCACGAAACUUGCCCCGAGAUGAGUUCUCCCUGAGACUUUAAGUCUCCUGAAGGAACGU
RNAcentral lists this ribosomal RNA (585 nucleotides) under Klebsiella pneumoniae. Its description in RNAcentral is "partial 23S ribosomal RNA". It matches the Rfam family "Bacterial large subunit ribosomal RNA", at positions 2259 to 2838 of the family's 2925-position model. The record is from RNAcentral. RNAcentral also lists the same sequence under 1 other name. Lineage: Bacteria; Pseudomonadati; Pseudomonadota; Gammaproteobacteria; Enterobacterales; Enterobacteriaceae.